Molecule: small nuclear RNA, 104 nt
Filed under: Carlito syrichta (Philippine tarsier)
Lineage: Eukaryota; Metazoa; Chordata; Mammalia; Primates; Tarsiidae
Source: RNAcentral
GUGUUUACUUCGACAGCCCAUAUACCAAAAUUGGAACAAUACAGAGAUCAGCAUGGCCUCCGUGCAAAGAGGACACCAAAAGUUAUGAAGUGCUCCAUAUUUUU